AAAUCCUAGUAAAAAAGAUAAACUUCCUUGUGUCUUGGCGACACGGCGUCAGUUUCCUAUUUUUAUACGGAUUU
This 74-nucleotide non-coding RNA is filed under the name unclassified sequences. The record is from RNAcentral.